GUCUUUGAUGGUCUAACGGUCAUGAUUUCCGCUUGUCACGCGGGAGAUCGGGGUUCGACUCCCCGUGAGUACA
RNAcentral lists this transfer RNA (73 nucleotides) under Rhynchosporium graminicola. The stretch from base 8 to 66 matches the Rfam family "tRNA", at positions 7 to 64 of the family's 71-position model. Rfam says of the family: Transfer RNA (tRNA) molecules are approximately 80 nucleotides in length. Lineage: Eukaryota; Fungi; Ascomycota; Leotiomycetes; Helotiales; Ploettnerulaceae. The record is from RNAcentral.